This 271-nucleotide ribosomal RNA is filed under the name uncultured archaeon. Its description in RNAcentral is "partial 16S ribosomal RNA". It matches the Rfam family "Archaeal small subunit ribosomal RNA", at positions 477 to 747 of the family's 1478-position model. The record is from RNAcentral.
CAGCGCCACAAGUGGUGAUCCGUAUUAUUUGGCCUAAAGCGUCCGUAGCUGGUUAAGUAAAUCUCUUGUGAAAUUGUUUCGCUCAACGAAACAGCGUGCAGGAGAGACUGCUAAGCUAGGGACCGGGAGGAGUCAGAGGUAUGCCGGGGGGAGCGGUAAAAUGCUAUAAUCCCUAGUGGACCACCUAUGGCGAAGGCAUCUGACUAGAACGGGUCCGACAGUGAGGGACGAAAGCCAGGGGAGCAAACCGGAUUAGAUACCCGAGUAGUCC